RNAcentral lists this ribosomal RNA (1827 nucleotides) under Streptomyces sp. YIM 130001. Its description in RNAcentral is "bacterial LSU rRNA". It matches the Rfam family "Bacterial large subunit ribosomal RNA", at positions 1224 to 2925 of the family's 2925-position model. Lineage: Bacteria; Bacillati; Actinomycetota; Actinomycetes; Kitasatosporales; Streptomycetaceae. The record is from RNAcentral.
UUGGGUAGGGGAGCGUCGUGUGCCGGGUGAAGCAGCCGCGUAAGCGAGUUGUGGACGGUUCACGAGUGAGAAUGCAGGCAUGAGUAGCGAUACACACGUGAGAAACGUGUGCGCCGAUUGACUAAGGGUUCCUGGGUCAAGCUGAUCUGCCCAGGGUAAGUCGGGACCUAAGGCGAGGCCGACAGGCGUAGUCGAUGGACAACCGGUUGAUAUUCCGGUACCCGCUUUGAAGCGCCAAACAUUGAAUCAGGCGAUGCUAAGUCCGUGAAGCCGCCUGCCUCCAGCUUUGCUGUGGGUGGGAGUGGUGGAGCCGACGGACCAGACUUGUAGUAGGUGAGUGAUGGGGUGACGCAGGAAGGUAGUCCAGCCCGGGCGGUGGUUGUCCCGGGGUAAGGGUGUAGCCCGUGCGGUAGGUAAAUCCGUCGUACUUGUGGGUGAGACCUGAUGCCGAGCCGAUUGUGGUGAAGUGGAUGAUCCUAUGCUGUCGAGAAAAGCCUCUAGCGAGUUUCAUGGCGGCCCGUACCCUAAACCGACUCAGGUGGUCAGGUAGAGAAUACCGAGGCGUUCGGGUGAACUAUGGUUAAGGAACUCGGCAAAAUGCCCCCGUAACUUCGGGAGAAGGGGGGCCAUUUCUGGUGAUCCGAUUUACUCGGUGAGCUGGGGGUGGCCGCAGAGACCAGCGAGAAGCGACUGUUUACUAAAAACACAGGUCCGUGCGAAGCCGUAAGGCGAUGUAUACGGACUGACGCCUGCCCGGUGCUGGAACGUUAAGGGGACCGGUUAGCUCAGAUUCGUCUGGGCGAAGCUGAGAACUUAAGCGCCAGUAAACGGCGGUGGUAACUAUAACCAUCCUAAGGUAGCGAAAUUCCUUGUCGGGUAAGUUCCGACCUGCACGAAUGGCGUAACGACUUCUCGACUGUCUCAACCAUAGGCCCGGUGAAAUUGCACUACGAGUAAAGAUGCUCGUUUCGCGCAGCAGGACGGAAAGACCCCGGGACCUUUACUACAGUUUGAUAUUGGUGUUCGGUUCGGCUUGUGUAGGAUAGGUGGGAGACUUUGAAGCGGCCACGCCAGUGGUUGUGGAGUCAACGUUGAAAUACCACUCUGGUCGUGCUGGAUGUCUAACCUGGGUCCGUGAUCCGGAUCAGGGACAGUGUCUGAUGGGUAGUUUAACUGGGGCGGUUGCCUCCUAAAGAGUAACGGAGGCGCCCAAAGGUUCCCUCAGCCUGGUUGGUAAUCAGGUGUUGAGUGUAAGUGCACAAGGGAGCUUGACUGUGAGACCGACGGGUCGAGCAGGGACGAAAGUCGGGACUAGUGAUCCGGCGGUGGCUUGUGGAAGCGCCGUCGCUCAACGGAUAAAAGGUACCCCGGGGAUAACAGGCUGAUCUUCCCCAAGAGUCCAUAUCGACGGGAUGGUUUGGCACCUCGAUGUCGGCUCGUCGCAUCCUGGGGCUGGAGUCGGUCCCAAGGGUUGGGCUGUUCGCCCAUUAAAGCGGUACGCGAGCUGGGUUUAGAACGUCGUGAGACAGUUCGGUCCCUAUCCGCUGUGCGCGUAGGAGUCUUGAGAAGGGCUGUCCCUAGUACGAGAGGACCGGGACGGACGAACCUCUGGUGUGCCAGUUGUCCUGCCAAGGGCAUGGCUGGUUGGCUACGUUCGGAAAGGAUAACCGCUGAAAGCAUCUAAGCGGGAAGCCUGCUUCGAGAUGAGGACUCCCUCCCCCUUUGAGGGGUUAAGGCUCCCAGUAGACGACUGGGUUGAUAGGCCAGAUAUGGAAGCCUGGUAACGGGUGGAGUUGACUGGUACUAAUAGGCCGAGGGCUUGUCCUC